Molecule: ribosomal RNA, 497 nt
Filed under: uncultured bacterium
Lineage: Bacteria
Description: partial 16S ribosomal RNA
Rfam family: Bacterial small subunit ribosomal RNA
Source: RNAcentral
GACGAACGCUGGCGGCGUGCCUAAUACAUGCAAGUUGAGCGCUGAAGGUUGGUACUUGUACCAACUGGAUGAGCAGCGAACGGGUGAGUAACGCGUGGGGAAUCUGCCUUUGAGCGGGGGACAACAUUUGGAAACGAAUGCUAAUACCGCAUAAAAACUUUAAACACAAGUUUUAAGUUUGAAAGAUGCAAUUGCAUCACUCAAAGAUGAUCCCGCGUUGUAUUAGCUAGUUGGUGAGGUAAAGGCUCACCAAGGCGAUGAUACAUAGCCGACCUGAGAGGGUGAUCGGCCACAUUGGGACGGAGACACGGCCCAAACUCCUACGGGAGGCAGCAGUAGGGAAUCUUAGGCAAUGGACGAAAGUCUGACCGAGCAACGCCGCGUGAGUGAAGAAGGUUUUCGGAUCGUAAAACUCUGUUGGUAGAGAAGAACGUUGGUGAGAGUGGAAAGCUCAUCAAGUGACGGUAACUACCCAGAAAGGGACGGCUAACUACGUG